Molecule: ribosomal RNA, 578 nt
Filed under: Enterobacter cloacae subsp. cloacae
Lineage: Bacteria; Pseudomonadati; Pseudomonadota; Gammaproteobacteria; Enterobacterales; Enterobacteriaceae
Description: bacterial LSU rRNA
Rfam family: Bacterial large subunit ribosomal RNA
Source: RNAcentral
GCGUAAUAGCUCACUGGUCGAGUCGGCCUGCGCGGAAGAUGUAACGGGGCUAAACCAUGCACCGAAGCUGCGGCAGCGACGCUUAUGCGUUGUUGGGUAGGGGAGCGUUCUGUAAGCCGUUGAAGGUGGCCUGUGAGGGUUGCUGGAGGUAUCAGAAGUGCGAAUGCUGACAUAAGUAACGAUAAAGCGGGUGAAAAGCCCGCUCGCCGGAAGACCAAGGGUUCCUGUCCAACGUUAAUCGGGGCAGGGUGAGUCGACCCCUAAGGCGAGGCCGAAAGGCGUAGUCGAUGGGCAACAGGUUAAUAUUCCUGUACUUGGUGUUACUGCGAAGGGGGGACGGAGAAGGCUAUGUUAGCCGGGCGACGGUUGUCCCGGUUUAAGCAUGUAGGCGGAGGUUCCAGGUAAAUCCGGUACCUUUUAACGCUGAGGUGUGAUGACGAGGCACUACGGUGCUGAAGUAACAAAUGCCCUGCUUCCAGGAAAAGCCUCUAAGCAUCAGGUAACACGAAAUCGUACCCCAAACCGACACAGGUGGUCAGGUAGAGAAUACCAAGGCGCUUGAGAGAACUCGGGUGAAG